Molecule: ribosomal RNA, 1194 nt
Filed under: Triticum aestivum (bread wheat)
Lineage: Eukaryota; Viridiplantae; Streptophyta; Magnoliopsida; Poales; Poaceae
Description: partial small subunit ribosomal RNA
Source: RNAcentral
AUGGAGAAGGAGCUCUCUGCCGACGCGCUAGCCUGCGACUACUGCAGCGGCCCACAGGCGGUCGUGUACUGCCGGGCCGACAGCGCCAGGCUCUGCCUGCCGUGCGACCGCCUCGUGCACGCCGCCAACGCGGUCUGCUCCCGCCACCUGCGCGCCCUGCUCUGCGCCGCAUGCCGCGCAACCGGGGCCGUCUUCCGCCACGCUGGUACCGAAUUCCUCUGCUCCAACUGCGACUUCGGGAGGAGCCGGGACGCCGAGCUGCCGCUGCACGACCGCUGCACAGUCCAGGGGUACACGGGACGACCCUCGGCGCACGACCUCGCCGCUCUUCUCGGGGUCCCCGACUUCGACAAGCCCUCGGCCGGCAAAGCCGACGACGGUUGGUGGGCCAUCUGGGAGGAGCCCCAGGUGUUCCGCCUGGAGGAUCUCAUCGUGCCCACCACUUCUUGCCAUGGCUUCCAGCCCCUCGUGACGCCGUCCUCGCCCAAGGUACAUGACAUGCUCGCUGUCUGCCAAAAUUCUCCAGUUUUCUGCUCUUGCUCUGAAUUCUCACACCUAGCUCUAACUCAUCUGCAAAAGAUCCACAACUCACCCGAUGGAAAGACCAACGAUGAGGUCAUACGGCAGUUACGUGAGCUCGCCGAGGUCGACAUGGGCAGCGGUCAGAUAACACCUCGUGAGGAGGCAGAGCAAGCUGCUCAUCAGUUGCCUUCCUGGACAGAGUCACAGCACACCACUGGAAAUGGCGAUUUCGGCAUAGAUAACAGCCACGAGGUUGCAACCAUGCCAACCCCUGGUUAUGAGAACGGCGGAUGGAACAACAACGAUUAUCAUGCCCUAAAUGGUGCCUCCAAGACCGAGUACGAACAGAAGCAGGCUCCAGCAAGCUCAGCUGAAGCAUGCUUGUCAUCGUUUGUUCAGAUGUCAGAACUUUGCCCCAGCAUGAGCAAUGGUAGCAUGAUGGACGAUGGCCAGCAGGCAAAUCCUGGUACUGGCAUGCCAAUGCAAGCUUUCCCCAAAAGAAGUGGCUUUGAUGUUGUUGCUGGCCCUGACCGCGACAUUGUCAUUUCCCGCUAUAAAGAAAAGAGGAGGACAAGAAGAUUCGACAAACAGGUGCGAUAUGAGUCCCGCAAAGCUCGUGCGGACAGCAGGUUGAGGAUCAAGGGGCGUUUUGCAAAGGCAAAUCAGAGUUAA